RNAcentral lists this long non-coding RNA (203 nucleotides) under Vigna radiata. RNAcentral describes it as "long non-coding RNA (VRAD_LNC007317)". Lineage: Eukaryota; Viridiplantae; Streptophyta; Magnoliopsida; Fabales; Fabaceae. The record is from RNAcentral.
GUACUUGGAAUAUGCAUGCUUUCCCACUAAUCAUGAUUUAUGUUUAAAAACAUUUGUUUAAGGUCAUGCUUGGGAUAUGUACAUUAUUAUUAUACAGCUAAUAAACAUGCAGUGGGAUCUUCCUCAAAUCUCCUUUCAUUAAUGAUUCACAACAGUAGGAAGAAGAGGUUUUGCACCAAAAGUUGAGAAGAAAGCCAAUCCAC